Molecule: long non-coding RNA, 502 nt
Filed under: Helianthus annuus (common sunflower)
Lineage: Eukaryota; Viridiplantae; Streptophyta; Magnoliopsida; Asterales; Asteraceae
Description: hypothetical non coding rna
Source: RNAcentral
UAUAUAUAUAUAUGUAUAUAUAUAGAGAGAUAUAAAUCUAAGUCUUUCAAUCUUGUAAAUGUGUUUACUGAUACUAUUACGAAAACUCUUAAGCGACACAUCGAACACGCAAAUAAUCAUGAAAACGAAUCACAAUAUUAAUGUUGAAAUUAUUUUAUCAUUCAAAAAUAUUGAUUUAGUGUUACUCUAAACAUCUAGGAUAAUUGUCCUCGUUCGUUCUCUUGGAAUUCUCCAUCCUUACUCGUGCGCUUUACAAGAAAUCGCAACGCAAUCAAUGUUGAUUUAUCAAGAUACAAGAAAGCAAGCUAGGAUGGCCUAGAAACUCAUUUUAGAAAUAAACUAUUGUUGAAUUUAUAUUUGGAUGUUUGAAACUUUGUAUUAUCCUUUAGAAUUUAAUAAAAUGAUUUAAUUUAUAUUGUCACAUUUAGUGUUAUGUUGUUUUGAGCAAUUUGUUCGUCUCAUCCCGAUGUUUCCGCUAUCGGUUGGGAAUCUGGCUUCUUAG